This 495-nucleotide ribosomal RNA is filed under the name uncultured bacterium. Its description in RNAcentral is "partial 16S ribosomal RNA". It matches the Rfam family "Bacterial small subunit ribosomal RNA", at positions 28 to 505 of the family's 1533-position model. The record is from RNAcentral.
GAUGAACGCUGGCGGCGUGCCUAAUACAUGCAAGUCGAGCGAACGGACGAGAAGCUUGCUUCUCUGAUGUUAGCGGCGGACGGGUGAGUAACACGUGGAUAACCUACCUAUAAGACUGGGAUAACUUCGGGAAACCGGAGCUAAUACCGGAUAAUAUUUUGAACCGCAUGGUUCAAAAGUGAAAGACGGUCUUGCUGUCACUUAUAGAUGGAUCCGCGCUGCAUUAGCUAGUUGGUAAGGUAACGGCUUACCAAGGCAACGAUGCAUAGCCGACCUGAGAGGGUGAUCGGCCACACUGGAACUGAGACACGGCCCAGACUCCUACGGGAGGCAGCAGUAGGGAAUCUUCCGCAAUGGGCGAAAGCCUGGCGGAGCAACGCCGCGUGAGUGAUGAAGGUCUUCGGAUCGUAAAACUCUGUUAUUAGGGAAGAACAUAUGUGUAAGUAACUGUGCACAUCUUGACGGUACCUAAUCAGAAAGCCACGGCUAACUACG